RNAcentral lists this microRNA precursor (104 nucleotides) under Chlorocebus sabaeus (green monkey). RNAcentral describes it as "miRNA (ENSCSAG00000023692.1)". The record is from RNAcentral. Lineage: Eukaryota; Metazoa; Chordata; Mammalia; Primates; Cercopithecidae.
UAUCUGUUGAUGUGUUAAUACUAGGUUGGUGCAAAAGUAAUUGCGGUUUUUGCCAUCAAAAUAAUGGCAAAACUGCAAUUACUUUUUGCACCAACCUAUAACUU